UACGGAGGGUGCGAGCGUUAAUCGGAAUUACUGGGCGUAAAGCGCGCGUAGGCGGUCUGUUAAGUCAGUUGUGAAAGCCCUGGGCUCAACCUGGGAACUGCAAUUGAUACUGGCAGACUCGAAUACAGGAGAGGGAGGUAGAAUUCCACGUGUAGCGGUGAAAUGCGUAGAUAUGUGGAGGAAUACCAGUGGCGAAGGCGGCCUCCUGGCCUGAUAUUGACGCUGAGGUGCGAAAGCGUGGGGAGCAAACAGG
RNAcentral lists this ribosomal RNA (253 nucleotides) under uncultured bacterium. RNAcentral's name for it is "partial 16S ribosomal RNA". It matches the Rfam family "Bacterial small subunit ribosomal RNA", at positions 524 to 776 of the family's 1533-position model. The record is from RNAcentral.